CAGUCGCCGCGGGAAAACGUAGGGCGCAAGCGUUAUCCGGAAUUAUUGGGCGUAAAGAGCUCGUAGGCGGUUUGUCGCGUCUGCCGUGAAAGUCCGGGGCUCAACCCCGGAUCUGCGGUGGGUACGGGCAGACUAGAGUGAUGUAGGGGAGACUGGAAUUCCUGGUGUAGCGGUGAAAUGCGCAGAUAUCAGGAGGAACACCGAUGGCGAAGGCAGGUCUCUGGGCAUUAACUGACGCUGAGGAGCGAAAGCAUGGGGAGCGAACAGGAUUAGAUACCCCUGUAGUCCCUGUCUCUUAUAA
RNAcentral lists this ribosomal RNA (301 nucleotides) under uncultured bacterium. Its description in RNAcentral is "partial 16S ribosomal RNA". It matches the Rfam family "Bacterial small subunit ribosomal RNA", at positions 509 to 809 of the family's 1533-position model. The record is from RNAcentral.